RNAcentral lists this transfer RNA (75 nucleotides) under Candidatus Saccharimonadota bacterium. Its description in RNAcentral is "tRNA-Gln". It matches the Rfam family "tRNA". From Rfam's summary of the family: Transfer RNA (tRNA) molecules are approximately 80 nucleotides in length. Their secondary structure includes four short double-helical elements and three loops (D, anti-codon, and T loops). Lineage: Bacteria; Candidatus Saccharimonadota. The record is from RNAcentral.
UGGGCUGUCGCCAAGUGGUAAGGCAACUGGUUUUGGUCCCGUCAUUCGUAGGUUCGAAUCCUGCCAGCCCAGCCA